Molecule: ribosomal RNA, 904 nt
Filed under: Leodice lucei
Lineage: Eukaryota; Metazoa; Annelida; Polychaeta; Eunicida; Eunicidae
Description: partial 16S ribosomal RNA
Rfam family: Bacterial large subunit ribosomal RNA
Source: RNAcentral
CUCUAUACCCGAAAUCACAGGAGCUGAGAUAAAGUUGUUAAGAACCCACCACCUAAUGUUUCAAUAUUAGAGGAAAACUUUAACUCAGGGGCUACAUACCUCCCGCAUGUGAUGAUAGCUGGUUUCCUCAAACCCAGCAUAAGCUGAAAAAACUGAAAAAUCAUAAAAACCCAAACUCAGUUAUACAAAUUCAUUGAGAACAAGCUCAAUUUAAAAAACUCAUUUAGAACAAAAAACAAAAUAAAGGUAGGCCCAGAAACAGCCACCCCCCAUUCCGUUACAGCACGAAAAAAAUAAAAAUAAAAAAAAAUAAAAAAAAAAGGAAAAGAAAUUCACCAUUAAACUCGUAACCUAUGCAAGGAUCAGUAUUUUAUUAAUCAUGGAAAAGGAACUCGGCAAACAAAGACUUCGACUGUUUAACAAAAACAUAGCCUACUGCCACCAUAUAGUAGGUAACCCCUGCCCAGUGAGAUAUUUAACGGCCGCGGUACCCUGACCGUGCAAAGGUAGCAUAAUCACUUGCCUUCUAAUUAGAGGCUAGUAUGAACGGACAAACGAAAGUCUUUCUGUCUCUCCCAUGCCCAUAAAAAUUUACCUUCAGGUGAAGAGGCCUGAAUUUAUAUAAAAGACAAGAAGACCCUGUCGAGCUUUAAUCUUAAUAAGUCAGCAACUUUAUAAAUGUUUAAUCUUGCUAAUGAUUUUUGCUGGGGCGGCAAAGGAACAAAACUAACUUCCUGCAAAUACAAGAAAAUAAUUCUUCCCAAUGACCCAUAUAAUGAUCAACAAACCUAGCUACCGCAGGGAUAACAGACUAAUUUUCCUCAAGAGCCCAAAUCUACAGGAAAGUUUGGCACCUCGAUGUUGGCUUAGGGAAUCUUUUAGAUGCAGCAGUCUAACAAGAGGG